GGGGCUUUUUGAGGAUCAGCUAUCUAUCUAACAAAUUAACCCCUGAAAUUUAGUUGCUUAAAAUAAUUUUUCCUCUCACAGAAUUUCUGUGGUUCUAGGAAUCUGAGAAACUUAUCUGGGUGAUUUCCAGCACAGUGUCUCUCAUGAGGUUGCAGUCAAGAUGGUGGCCAGGGCUGCCGUCUUCCAAAGGCUUGACUGGGGGUAGAGGACUUGUUUCCAUAGUGUCUCUUUCACACAAUUGGCAAGUUAGUGCUAGCUCUUGGCAGGAGGCCUCAGUGCCUGCAACGUAGACAUCUUCACAAGACUGCUGGCUUUUUCCUCACAAAAUGACAACUGGCUUCCCCACAGAGAGAGUUAUCCAAGAAAGGCAGGAGAGGCCACAUGCCUUUUGUGACCUGUCUUGGGAGUCACAAAUCGUCACUCUUGCCUAUUCUACGUGCUAGAAGCAAGCCACUUGGUCCAACCUUCACUCAAGGGGAGGAGAAUCAGGCUCUAUUUUUUUGAAGGGAGUGUCUAAGAAUUUGUGGUCAUAUUUUAAGUCACCACAAGAGAUAACAUAAGUAAAAUUCUUGGAAAAAAUAAGUGUUGGAUAAAUGAACGCACUUAGUAUUUGAAGGCUUUAAAAGUACCUGGUUCCAUUCCAUCUCUCUAGUACCUAGCAUAGUACUUGGUGUGCAGCGGCCGUCUUAAAUAAGGAGCUAAUGUUAAUUAAAUAACGAGCUAAAUUUGUUGUUUGCUUUGUGUCUGGUGUUGUGCUAAGCAUUUCUGUCAGAAAAGUUCAUUCCAUUUUCACAAUAUCCCUAGAAAAUGGACACUAUUAUUAUCUCAGUUUUAUUGGUGGGAAAACUUAAGUGUGCACAGACAAGUUGAGCAAUUUGUUGGAUGUUAACAUAUGGAGGAGUGUGAUAGAGCUCAGAACUAGUCUCUGUCAGCUCCAGUAUGCAGCUUUUAACUACCAAAGUACAGGUCUUGUCAUAAAGCAAGGCCUCUAAAAUUAUUUGUGUGAAAUAUUCCUGCCUCUGAAACUUGUUAUCCAGGAAUAUUUUGAGAGCGGGAGAAAAUGCUACUUGAAUUGUGAGGUCUGUAUGUUGAGGCACUUCUCUCAGAUCUAAAAUGUUCUAAAAAUUCCCAGCCAAAAUUUCACAACGGGAAGCACCAGGAUUCCUCCCCUACACUCUUCCUUUCUGUGUUAUUUGGUAAAGCAUGCCCACACCUCUGCUUUCUUCUGGUCUGCAUUUUAGGUUUCCCCUGGAAACUUGGUUGUUUGGAGGUCCAAAGGCUGAAUACAAGUUUGAAGACCAAAGUAGAUGAUCGUAAAGCUCAUUUUCUGCCCUAAAGCUUUUAUCACUUUGGACCUGAUGGCUAAAGAAAGGAGCCAUAUACCUCCAGAAGACUACUCCCUUGGCCAUAAGAGAGAACUUUGGAAGGACCAUUCAAGCAAAUCAUGGAAGACACCUAACAGAGUGUCAGCAAAUGUUUAUUAAACUACAUUAAUUGACUGAUCCCAUAACACUUAAAAGACCUAUUAGAGAGGUGGAGUCAAGUCCAGGAAGAAACACCACCAAAAGGCUGGAGAAGGCCCCAGUGACAGAUUACUUUAUGGAUAAUGAAAAUCCAGAUUGAUUGGCUUAAAAUCCUACUCCUGGAGAGGUUGAAACUGCAACACUGUCCAAACCCUCCCCCUCUGUACAAAGUGCAGUGGGCGUCAGCAUGGAGACCUCCCAGUUCUGUGUAUUGGUAAAUCCACAAGGAAAGGAAUGGAGGCUUCCUCCCAUGGACUCAGAAUCCAGAGAAUCUCUGCUGCUACCACAGAAGGCAUUUCGGAAAGAUGUGAUUACUGAGCCAAGUGAGCAUUCCCAAAUCCUUGCUAUUUCCCAGACACAUGAGCUCAACAGUAUUGACAGAGCUUAGGGAGCCUGUUAUGUCCUACAGAUGGAAUGUUGUAGAACACAACCUAGACAUCAUCGAAUGUGGCCAUGAAAUAUUUCCAGUGAAAGUUUUAUUUCUACUUCCCCACCAUUCAGCUUCUCAAUCUACUGGUCAUGAGAAGUUACUUGGCUUGAUCAGAAUUUGAGUUGAAAUUUUUUCAGAGAAUAAAGAAAAUUCCCAAAGGUCUAACACAGAACAAAUGGCCAUGCUAAAUCAUACUAAAUAAUUCAGUGCAGCACUUCCAGACGUCUGCAAGAUUCUUCUUGGCACAGAUUCUUUUCUAUGCUGAGCGUGUGCCUGUGGUUAUCUCCAUGUUUUUAUAAGACUCAGCUCCACUGACAGCAGUUAACUUGGACCCAACCAGAUCAACUAAGGUCCUUCUCUAGCAUUGGAUUUGGCCCAGAGAGCCUCUUGGCAUCUCAGUGGUUGAAACUGUAUGAUAGGUAAUUUAAGAACUAUCAGUAGCCAUAUUUGCCUGCUUCUGAAGAGUGCUGGUUUACAGUGAGAAGGAAUAAGGCCUACCUAUGGAGAGAAACAGAGACAGAAACAAUCCCAGUGAGGUUCAUGUUUCUGGUUCCGGUUGUUCCUGAUGCCCCUCUGCUUCCGUGCACUUCCAGAAGCAGGAGCUGAACACAGGAACUGGUGCCUUAAGGGAAUGGAGGCCACGAAGGCUGAUGAGGUCCGGAGGUUGAUGAGGUCCAGAGGUUGAGGAGCCAGGAAGAAGGUAGACCUCAAGUCCUAAAAUCACCACAAUGCAACAUCUCUAGGCCAGAAACUAAACCCUGGUAGGAAAAGGGUCCCAAGGGAGACAAGGCAUGGGGCCAAGGAAGACCGAGGGGGACAGCAACCUUCCGAGGCACUGGAGCUACAGAAUCCCUGGGGCUCACAGAUUUAUGAGUUUGUGUGGCAUUCACAUGGAUCUGCCCUUCUGUCAAAGUGGCCAUAACGGAUGUGAUCUCACAAAGGUAGGGCUGAUCAGCGCCAAUGUCACGCUCUAAGUCAUAGUCAUACGUUUGCAGCCUGCAAAAUGAUGGAAUGGAAUAGACCCUGUUCACAGCGAUGUUCCCUUCUUGGGAAUUGCAACUGAGAAGACAGACCCUCACUGGCCAUGUCUCUACACCAGUGCCAAUCUAGGACAACCAGAGUGUCUAUUCCAAAGAGUUUGAAAUUUUGAGCUGAAAGAUACAGAAAUGAAAGACUAGUAGAAAGUGUAGGAACUUCUGCCCCUGAAGUUCCCAGAGUUAUUUUAAUUCUGUUAUUUCUCUGUGGUUUGGAUACAGCCUAUAUUAGUUUUCGGUAGCUGUUGUGGCAAAUUAGUACACACUGAGUGGCUAAAAAACAUGAAUUUCUUCCUUGCCUUCCCUAGGCAAGGUUUAUGGCUCCAUCACUCCCAUCUCUGCCUCUGUCUGCACAUCAUCUUCUCCCGUGUCUUUCCCCCUUUAUGUGUGUCUUAUAGAGAUACUUGCCAUUGGAUUUAGGGCCCACCGGGAUUAUUUCCUCAUCUCAAGAUCCUUAACUUAAUUACCUCAACAAAGACCCUUUUUCUAAAUAAAGUCACAUUCACAGGUUCUGGGGGUUCUGAUGUGAAUGUAUUUUGGGGGGUGUUACCAUCAUUGAACCCAACACACCACCCUUCCAAUUACUUUCUCAAACUAAGCAGUGCCGUUUCCAUCACUUGGAACCAAAAAAAAAAUUAGUUUAGGAUCUCUCGAUGCUAGCCAUGACAGUUGUAAGUGGUUUGUACCACCUGUAUACUAAGCUUGACUUCAGAAAUUCUGCAAUUUCAAUGUAGUGUUACCUUGGAACUUAUUGAAAGUGCAAGUUUCUGCCUUCCACCCCAGUUUCUCAAUAAAUUGGUCCAGGAAUCUGCAUUUUAACAAUUCUCAGGUGGUCCAAUGAGAAAAGAACAGGAAAAAUUACGAAGGCUCAGACCCUUUAACGUCCAAUUCAAAUAAAAGCAAAAGGAAAAGCAAUGAAAAAUAACUUGAAAACUUUAAUGAUAUUGUUUAUAUAGUAAAAACAUAAAAUCUUUUAAAUAAGGUACAUUCAAUUUCUCAGAGCAUCUAAUAUUCAGAUAAUUUAUAUUUCAUAUACUUUCCAACAUUAAACAAUUGACUAAGUAAUGCAUUUUCUAAAAAAUGAUAUUACAACUUAUAUAAGUAAAAGUACAUUACAAAAAUACUCCACACAGGAAGGAUGGCAGUACUUAUUAAGAAAUGCUAUAAACUUUCCAUUAAAAAAUAUAUUUUAUCUCUCAUUUGUCAUAAUUAUAAACAGAAUAUAUAUUUUCCUUUCUAAAAUUGUCUUACACAGUUUCCCCUUAGGAUGAUAGUAUGUACAAACCUUAUAUCUGAAUGAAUAUAAAUAGAAAUACUGUAAUAGUGUUACAGAUAUAUUAGUAACUUUUACAGAAAAAAAAUAUGGCUUUCUAAUAAAAGCCUCUAAUAAAACAGCUGAAAUC
Long non-coding RNA from Felis catus (domestic cat), 4390 nucleotides. RefSeq lists it as uncharacterized. Lineage: Eukaryota; Metazoa; Chordata; Mammalia; Carnivora; Felidae. The transcript is spliced from 11 exons. The record is from RefSeq and is a predicted model, not a curated record.